GAUCAGUGCCGUGUCCACGCCCAGGAUCCGAACUGGUGAAACCCUGGGCCUCCGACGCAAAGUGCACGAACUUAACCACUCGGUCACUCAGCCGGCCCCUCACUUUCCUGAUGGUGUGUUUUGAGAAGCCUGAGCUUAAAUCUGUAAGACUCUGCUGGAGAAGAUGUUGUCAAAAUCACCAAAAAUCUCCAUAUUGCUGAAUCAAAUGGAUUUUUCUUCGUUCUCCCUUGCUUGACCUAUUAUCAGCAUUCAGCACAGUUGCUUGUUCUGAAAUAUCAUGAGAAGAGCUAUGAACACAGGCAGACCGCUGAAGUAUCGUUUAGCACACACAGUCUUCUGAAAGAUAUCACUAACGUCCCCACGGUCAGGGUCGUUUUGGACUGCUUUG
Molecule: long non-coding RNA, 388 nt
Organism: Equus quagga
Lineage: Eukaryota; Metazoa; Chordata; Mammalia; Perissodactyla; Equidae
Exons: 3
Source: RefSeq, a predicted model, not a curated record